This 235-nucleotide ribosomal RNA is filed under the name Microstigma rotundatum. RNAcentral describes it as "partial 12S ribosomal RNA". Lineage: Eukaryota; Metazoa; Arthropoda; Insecta; Odonata; Coenagrionidae. The record is from RNAcentral.
GUAUUAGGUAUGUUCUUUAAACUUAAAGAAUUUGGCGGUAUUUUAUUCUUUCCAGAGGAACCUGUUCUUUAAUUGAUAAUCCACGAUUUUAUUUACUUAUAUGUUUUUAUAUCUCCGUCAUAAGAAUAUUUUUAUAGUAAUUUUCAUGUCAGGUCAAGGUGAAAUUUAUAUAUAAGAAUGGGUUACAAUAAAUUUAUGAAGGAGGAUUUGGGCUCUAAAGUGUGCACACAUCGCC